Oncorhynchus keta (chum salmon) is the source of this 759-nucleotide long non-coding RNA. RefSeq lists it as uncharacterized. The record is from RefSeq and is a predicted model, not a curated record. The transcript is spliced from 3 exons. Lineage: Eukaryota; Metazoa; Chordata; Actinopteri; Salmoniformes; Salmonidae.
AUAUGUGUAAGAGCGACACAUAUCUUGGUCUAUCUUAGUAUGAAAAACUAUCAAUUCAGUAUAAGGCGGCAGGUAGCCUAGUGGUUAGAGCGCUGGGCCAGUAACCAGCAGGUAGCCUAGUGGUUAGAGCGCUGGGCCAGUAACCAGCAGGUAGCCUAGUGGUUAGAGCGCUGGGCCAGUAACCAGCAGGUAGCCUAGUGGUUAGAGCGCUGGGCCAGUAACCAGCAGGUAGCCUAGUGGUUAGAGCGCUGGGCCAGUAACCAGCAGGUAGCCUAGUGGUUAGAGCGCUGGGCCAGUAACCAGCAGGUAGCCUAGUGGUUAGAGCGCUGGGCCAGUAACCAGCAGGUAGCCUAGUGGUUAGAGCGUUGGGCCAGUAACCAGCAGGUAGCCUAGUGGUUAGAGCGUUGGGCCAGUAACCAGCAGGUAGCCUAGUGGUUAGAGCGUUGGGCCAGUAACCAGCAGGUAGCCUAGUGGUUAGAGCGCUGGGCCAGUAACCAGCAGGUAGCCUAGUGGUUAGAGCGCUGGGCCAGUAACCAGCAGGUAGCCUAGUGGUUAGAGCGCUGGGCCAGUAACCGAACGGUUGCAUUGAAUCCCAGAGCUGACAAGAUCAAAUGGGUUCCCAGGCCGACGUUGUAAAUAAGAAUUUCUUCUCAACUGAAAUGCUAAAUGUUAAAUAAAGGUUAAAUUAUUUUGUAAAAAUAGUACAUGGUAUGUUUGUCACUUUUCAACCAAUCCGGUACAUUCCCAUCGACUGCAUGA